UGAUGCCUCAAGCGUCUUCCACCGCGGCUACAACUGUACCCAGCCAGAUAUGGCCAGUACCAUCACGCCGGGACUACUACAAAGCCAUAUGGGCCGACCAUUUUUUGGAACAAUUUUUUAACUCGUGCAUAGACUGCUUAUGCGGCCGUAUGGGCCGGCAGUUUUUUCGGACCUCGUGCAUAGGCUGCUUAUGCGGCCUUAUGGGCCGGCAGUUUUGGACCUCAUGCAUCAACUGCUUAUGAGGCUGGAUGUGGCCAACAGGCUUUGUGUAAAAAAAAAUGUGGUCUGGUGGCGCCUUCGUGUAUAUGAAGGUUCCGGGUUCGAUUCCUGGUCAGACCCCCGACAUUGUUCGGGAGGUCUAGGUUUACUAACGCUGCUGAGGUGUGGAGAUGAGGUCUAGUUGAUGGACUAAGUUUCGCAUGCUGAGAUGGUGGUGGUGGCUGAUCUGUCUCUACGGAUGUUGGGUGACUGGAUGAGGAGGGGUCUAGUUGGCAGGACCCAAACCGCCGUCGGUCGUACGGUGUAAUCAACUUUCAAUACAUAUAGUCCAUGGCCUCCCGGCUUUGACGGACCCCCCCGCACUCGUGCGGCACUUGUAACUUGUAACUUGUAAUCCCAGUUCCAAUUUAUCCUUCCCUGCGACAAUGGCUGGAUUGACUGCUUAGGCCGGGCCACAGACAGCCACACCCCAACAAGUUCCAAGUGCAGGAGACUACAGGGACUGAUCGAGAAGCUUUCGCAGAAGUUCUCGCAGACCAUCCGAACGGACCGUCCCUUCCUGCAGCACGGGGAAGCUCGCAAUUUUUAGCAUGGUCCAAAAAAAAACCAGUUCUUGCAUACCCAGCUUGCACACUACCCGUAUAGAAAGCUGCCAUCGCCCACCAAUAUGCUGGUCUGUGCGGAUGAGUACCUGCAAGUGACACUGUUUCGUCUUAGUUACCGGGGUUACCUGUAUGCCACAACUUCCGCAGCUCCUCUUCUGCCACGCUCUUCAUUCGAACAAUUACACAGAAGCCACUAUCCUCUUGUGCGACCUUCAGGCUGAUGAAGCUACACAAUUGUGCGGCACCCACAUCCCAACUACCAUCGCAGUCAGCAGCAUAGCAGUCCAGGUUUUGGUUCAAGAAUCACAAUAAGUCCAGAAACGUCACCAGUACCAACAUAGUGAAUACAACUGCACCCUGUAGCAACCGGCAAGCUCCCAUGUCAGCCGGCACAGGUGCCCUGCACAAGGCGCCACAUGGUGAGCCAGUGCCUGCAACCAACGCCUGCAACCAACGAGGUUCCCUACCCGGCAUGGAACACCGGUCACAGCUGGCACUGAACAAGGUCAUGCCCGGCGGGUGGAUGAACUUGUUGUGGCAUACUUGCAUAUUUACCCUCGGACUUUUCCCCAAUUCUCUGGCACUUCACCGCUGGGCAAUAUCUUCGCUCUUACUUGGUUAACCAUUGGGCACUGGCCUAUCUCUAAUUGGGCGCUGGCCCAUCUCUAAUCGGGCACUUGCCUGUCUUUAUCACGCGUGAUACUGGGUUAUAGCGCUCUUGCUAUAAUCGUGACACUUGUCACUGGUAGACCCACUUGGGUUACGAUUGCACCGAUUGGUGAUAAUUCGUGUUGACGAC
Molecule: long non-coding RNA, 1623 nt
Filed under: Volvox carteri
Lineage: Eukaryota; Viridiplantae; Chlorophyta; Chlorophyceae; Chlamydomonadales; Volvocaceae
Description: long non-coding RNA (VCAR_LNC004040)
Source: RNAcentral